This 438-nucleotide long non-coding RNA is filed under the name Ananas comosus (pineapple). RNAcentral describes it as "long non-coding RNA (ACOM_LNC004615)". The record is from RNAcentral. Lineage: Eukaryota; Viridiplantae; Streptophyta; Magnoliopsida; Poales; Bromeliaceae.
CGAGAUCGGCGAGCCGGCUCAGGCGCCCGAUGGAGGCGGGGAUGGGGCCGGAGAUCUGGUUGCGCGCGAGGAGGGCGCGGCUGAGCAUCUUGAGGUCGCCCAAGUUGGUGGGGAUGGGCCCGGAGAUCUUGUUGCCGGAGAGGUCGAGGUGCAUGAGGGAGGAGAGGGAGGGGAGGGAGCGGGGGAUGGGGCCGGAGACGAGGUUGUCGGCGAGGUUGAGGACGGUGAGGCGGGAGAGGCGGCCGAGGUCGGCGGGGAUGGGGCCGGAGAGUCGGUUGCCGGGGAGGUCGAGGAUGCGGAGGAGGGGGAGGGACGACGGGAUGCACGGCGGGAUCGCCCCGCCGAUCUGCUUCCAGUCUGCCACCACCAGGGUCGUCAGCCGCUCCAGCCGGCAGACCGCCUCGGAGAUGCGCCCCGACAUCAGCCCGGACGUGCGCC